RNAcentral lists this unclassified non-coding RNA (226 nucleotides) under Hevea brasiliensis (rubber tree). The record is from RNAcentral. Lineage: Eukaryota; Viridiplantae; Streptophyta; Magnoliopsida; Malpighiales; Euphorbiaceae.
UCAAGGAGACCUCCAACUUCAUCAAGAAGGUCGGCUUCAACCCCAAGCACGUUCCCUUCGUGCCCAUCUCCGGUUUCAACGGUGACAACAUGAUCGACGUCUCCACCAACUGCCCCUGGUACAAGGGUUGGGAGAAGGAGACCAAGGCCAAGGCCACCGGCAAGACCCUCCUCGAGGCCAUUGACGCCAUCGACCCCCCCACCCGUCCCACCGACAAGCCCCUCCG